AUUGAACGCUGGCGGCAGGCCUAACACAUGCAAGUCGAACGGUAACAGGAAACAGCUUGCUGUUUCGCUGACGAGUGGCGGACGGGUGAGUAAUGUCUGGGAAACUGCCUGAUGGAGGGGGAUAACUACUGGAAACGGUAGCUAAUACCGCAUAACGUCGCAAGACCAAAGAGGGGGACCUUCGGGCCUCUUGCCAUCGGAUGUGCCCGGAUGGGAUUAGCUAGUAGGUGGGGUAACGGCUCACCUAGGCGACGAUCCCUAGCUGGUCUGGGAGGAUGACAAGCCACACUGGAACUGAGACACGGUCCAGACGCCUACGGGAGGCAGCAGUGGGGAAUAUUGCACAAUGGGCGCAAGCCUGAUGCAGCCAUGCCGCGUGUAUGAAGAAGGCCUUCGGGUUGUAAAGUACUUUCAGCGGGGAGGAAGGGAGUAAAGUUAAUACCUUUGCUCAUUGACGUUACCCGCAGAAGAAGCACCGGCUAACUCCGUGCCAGCCGCCGCGGUAA
RNAcentral lists this ribosomal RNA (506 nucleotides) under uncultured bacterium. RNAcentral describes it as "partial 16S ribosomal RNA". It matches the Rfam family "Bacterial small subunit ribosomal RNA", at positions 30 to 523 of the family's 1533-position model. The record is from RNAcentral.